CACCAGGGAUGGAAAUUAACUUUUUUGCCCACCAGCCACUGUGGCAGGUAGAUUUAAAAAUCUACCAGCUACUCAUCUUUUUUACCAGCCACUUUUUACACGCUAUAUAUAUUUUUUAUAUUAUUUUCAAUAAAAAACAAAUUGACAUAUUAACAAUAAAACAACAUGCAUGGCUACACCAUCAUAA
This is a long non-coding RNA of Gadus macrocephalus (Pacific cod), 187 nucleotides long. RefSeq lists it as uncharacterized. NCBI's taxonomy places the organism in Eukaryota, Metazoa, Chordata, Actinopteri, Gadiformes, Gadidae. The record is from RefSeq and is a predicted model, not a curated record. The transcript has 2 exons.